UGGGCCCACUUGACGGUGUCACAAGCUAGCUCCAACUCUGUGCAUAACUUUUCCACCAAUCUAAAGACCCACAAUGAACGAGAGAGAGUGAUCGGCUCUGGGCGUGCGCGACGCGUGGCCGAGACGUGGCAACGCCGAGCCGAGCCUCCUUCUCUUCCCAGCCACAUCGCCCAUCCUCACUCCUCACUCCAGUGCCGACCAAACCGAGAGAACAAGCUCUAGCUGCUUUCCUCGCCUUCGAUCUCACCGCCGGCUGUGAUGAAGACGACGCUCGUCCUCGCCUACGAGUCUUCGCCAACCCUAUCUCUUCCACGUUCCAUACUCACCUCACCAUACGGAAAAUUUCUCCUUUUGAUUUCAUCCUCUCUCGUGCAGCGGAUCGACGGGAACGCCGACGUGCCCUCAAGAGCUCCAGAGCGCGCUCCAAACGUCGCUGUGGUGGCAUCGUCGCCGUCGCCACCGAUCUGGACCAAGCCGGGCCAUGCCAUCGCGCCAUCGUCUUCGCCUCGUACUCCUCUCCAUUUCCCCUCAAGAACCACGAAGAAUGGUGCUACGAGUGUGGAGAUCGGCCACCGUCUUCUUCACCUCCGGUUGCCGUCGCCAUUGUCGUUUCCGCCUCCUCCGUUCUUGGUGCCGAUUGAGCCGUCGCCGUUCACCCGGGAGGUUCUUGCCGUCGCCAAGCCGUUCUGCAAGCCACCGCUGCCGCCAAGACCACGGCAACCUUCGCUAGACUCAUGGCGAGCAUUCUUGAGGCUUUAGUGUCGCAUUCAUGCACUUUAUUCAUCUAGAUCCAGCCCCUAAAGUCACAUGCACCACCACCCGAAACCAUCUUUCGCUCGGACCCGCCGCCGGCGCUACUCCGAUGUCCACUAAUCGAGAAAAGUAGAGGAAUGGAAUCGUGAGAGAGUUCUCUUCAUUUUAUAUUUUUACCUCAACCCCAAACGAGCCACCAAUCGCCUCCGGUGAACCUGAGAUCGAGCUCAGCCAUGGCUGCUCUGCCUCUGUAGAAGACGAGGACCUCAUUUUGAGAAUUUAAACAACUAUAAGGUUUAUUGUACAAUCUUUCCACUCAAUGACAUAUAUAUGGGCCUAGGACUGCGGAUUGAUUCUUAAAAACUGUAAGGGUCUUUCUGCAUAUUCGCAAAUCACUGACAGUGGACCCCCUGGAGAUAAAAUCUGAGACUAUACAAGAGAGAAACCUAGAACUUGUAAAAUCCAUAUAAAAUCAAAUAAAGCUUAUUUUGAGAUGAUUCAAAUUUCUUUGAACUCACUAGAUUAUGAACUUUAAAGUUAUGAAAUAAAAACUUGCACUCACAGUACAAAUUUAGCCUCUAAAAUUCAUCUAAGAUAAAUCAUACAUAAAGCAUAUACAAAUUUAUAAAAUGCAUACAAAAUACAUUUCAACUCAUUUUAGAGCAAACUUAGUUUCUAAAGAUCCACCAACAUGUUCUCUAAAAACAAAGUGAAAUAAAACAUAUACACACUUUACAUCAAAUGCCUCUAAAACUAUUACCUUUAAAAUGACUAGUUUUAGAUUAGCUGAACUUUAGAAGUUUAUAUAAAAUUCAUCUCAGAUCCUUUUUGAGUAAACACAAGUUCUAUAGCAUCAUAGAGCUAUGCACUUCAAUGUUAUGUAUAUUAAUAUAAAAAGUACGAGUUCAUCCAUAAUUCUGCAAUCCUUCGCGUGGGACCCACCUGGUCAUCUGGCCCAAAGAAACAGCACCAUAUCUCGCGCACGAAAAAAAGGAAACUACUCAUACGAAAAAAAAAGAACGGGAAAAAAAAAGAACGGGAACACGAUCUAACCUCUGCAAUCCCCACGCCGCCGCCUCCUCAUUCCUUCCCGAACCGUCGCACAUCGACGCUCCGCCGCUCCUCCAUCCCCUCCCGCUCCAUCGCGCCGCCGCAACGCCAGAUUCAUCGCCGCCUCAUCGGCGCUGAGAGCGAGGGUAUCGUUGCCCCUCCCCUCCCCAUCAGUCGCCGCGCCACCGCCCCAUCGAUCUCCGCCCGGCCGCCACCAAUCUCGCAGCGCCAACAGUCGCCGGGUCCCCGUCGCCACGCGCAGCUGUCGUUGAAGCGAGCGCCGUCGCAUCGAUCUCCUCCGCCCCUCUCUAUCAGUCGUCGUGCCGUCGAAGCCAUCUUCACCGACGCUGGCUCGAUUGAGGCACAGCCCUUGCUGACCGACAGCGUCGCCCGCCGCUGACAUCUUCACCAUCACCGACCUCCUCCUCGGACCAUCGCACCUCGUCAUGGUUGGGGUCCUCUGUGUCCGCCCGUUGGAUCACCACCACCGCAAAGAAAACUCUGGAUUUUUCUGGUGCGUGUGAGGAUUGCUUUGGCAAGAGCUUUGUUUAUGAAUCCAACCAUCCUUUUGCUUGAUGAGCCAACAAACCAUCUUGAUAUGGCAUGACGGAAGACGUGGAUGUGGCUCUGGCGGUCGAUUGGGUGGCAACGAGGAUGAACCACAGCUGCGACUGCGCCCAUGCACAACCACAACCAACUAGCUAAGGUACAACUACAAGUCCUGCGAGCAACUAACCACCAUGACGCAAUUCCGUUUGGGCGGUGCUCCAUGUGGCUUUCCAGUAGAUUUGAUCCCCAAAUUGAUAUGAUGUAGCAUCAAAUGCUGUGAAUACACUUUGUGAGUUUUGCCUUUGAUCAAGACGAACUCCUGAUUAUAGCGUCCUAAGCCCCACAUGGUGCGUGUCGGCAUCCCUUUGUCAAUUUCUAGGCCAAAAAUUGGUGAAAGGUUUGUCAAGUGGUCUACUUUUGAUUGGAAGCGUGGCUACUUAAUUACUUAUAUCAAUGUUGUUUAUGUAUGACUGAUGCUCUACAGAUACAGUUUGUGUUAUCUAAUAUAACUAUUUUUUUUCUUUUAUUUUGGAUAGAUGUGGAAAUGAAGCUUAGUAAUUUUUAUAUUUUUGUUCUGUGAAGGAAAUAGAAAUAAUACAUGUUGUUUUUCACGAUCAUUUUGCAUUGAAACUGAAAUAAACUGACGACAUCCUUUGUUUACAUCAGACGACAUCUUUCUAAAAGAUUAUUUGUUUAUGUUGUUAUUGCACUUGUCAUACAUGUUAGACUAAAAUCAGGCCUCAAAUUUUGACAUCCAACUAUUCGAAAUCAAUUGUUUUGUUUGUAUAGCAAUGAAGCCUAUUCUCUUCAAAAAAAAAAAGGCAUAAAUAUGCUGAAAAUGAGCUUCUGCUAAUCCUGACAUAAAAAGGAGUUGCAGCGAUGUUGGGGAUUUGGUCCUUGAGCUCAUGCAUAUUGCAAGAGGUACCUAAUUUGAGUUUCAAAAGUGGAUGGUGCAGCUGUUCCACUUGAUUGGUUACUAUCAGGUGUUUGGGGUCAAGUCUGUAGUUUGCAAGGAGUGAACCUCAGUGUCUGUUUGUUGCGGAGCCCUCCUCCACCGUCGUCCAGUCUGCUGCCCCCAUUGCUGGUCGCGCCAUCCAGUCCGCCACCCCCUACGCACCCUCGGACGCCAUCUCCAAAAGGCUUCAGAAGCUUCUGGAGAUAUUAUUGUGAGGGAAGAAUAAUAUUUUGCUUACGUUGACAACCGAGAACUCUGUCAUCUGAAUUAAAAAUUUGUAUGAUUCCAUCUAAUCCCAUGAUAAAUAGUGAGAAUCUAUUUAUAAAAUAUGUAGAUCCCAUCCUAUUUUUAUCCUGAAUUAUUCCAUAACAUGCAACACAAUUUCCUAUCCAAGACGAUGCUGCUGAAACUAUGCCGAAGCUAUAAUAACUUGCCUUGUAAAGGUUAGCUAAAACAUUGUUGAUGAACAUAAAGGUUCAGAAAAAAAAAUGGAGUCUUUUAGCGCAGGUAGAGCUAUAGAGCACUAUCUUUCGAGAAAAAAAUAUACAACAAAUAUUCAUAUUAUAUUUUUUUAUUACACAACAUUGCAUGGCUCCUUAGUGUAGGUUGGUUUCCUUUAAGUCAGUUUUUUUUAUGUUUCUUUAGCAUAGACGUAGAUUUAGCACCAAAAUUAAAAACGAAUGUAGCAAGAUAAUGUUGAAAUCUUGUGGUAUAGAUUAUGAAAAAUGACUCAUCUGACAGGUUUGGUGCACCAAAAUUGCCCCUCAGUUUAAUUUGUGUGCUACCUAGAAAAGAGUAGUAACUAAUUAUGCUAAAUGCAUCAUUAUAGAAAGUAUAUAAUGCUGUUUUAUUAUAGUGAUAGGGAUUGCCAAUAGUUUCUGCAAGUAAUUCUUUUUGCUUUCUCCCAUUCUAUUAGGUGUUUUUCAGGGUUUUCUUCCCAGGCAUAUAUGCACAUCAUAACCAGGUGACCAAGGAAGCUAUAACUUACAUAAAGGACUCUCUCUCUCUCUCUCUGUGUGUGUGUAUAUAUAUAUAUAUAUACAUAUAUAUAUAAUAUGUAUGUAUGUAUGUAUGUAUAUGUGGCAAUUGUACACUUCAUAUUAUGCCAAACAUUUAUCAAACUAUGACAAAUUGUAUAUUUGGUAUCAUUGGUUGUUUUCCGUUUAUAUGACAAACUGUAAACAGAGAGAUAUGUGGUCUGUUUAAUAUGCAUAGUGGGAAAACAUAAUAAACUCGUAUUUAUACGUGAGGGAACGUGCAAGCACGUUCACUAGUAAAAUAAAAAGACAUACUUACAGUAUAAUAAAAACCCCUAAACAUUUGUGUAAGGAAUAAGCAACAUAGAGCAUACCUUAAUUUCUAAAAUUUGUAGAAAAUUCAUCUUUAGUCCAAAUGGAGUGAACAUAGUGGAAUUCAACAUAGUAAUGGUUAAGCAAAAUAUAUGUGUAGAGGUAUUUAAAAUGCACUCUAGCUAUGAAUAAACCAACUUGUUGGACCAGAGAAAACAUAAGUUCCGUCCCUAACCACUAGAACUUGGCACACUAUGCUCUAGGUUAAUAUGUUAAGUCACUAACAUAGAACACUCCCUAGCUUAUAAAAUAUGUAGUAGAGUAAUAUAAACUCUAAAAUUUUGAACUAAGAUUAAAUUGGUUAGCUAAAUUAUUCAUUUUUAUGCAUCUCUAGUAAAUAGAACAUGUUUUGGACAUAAAACUUCUAAAGCCAUAUAUUCAUAGAGACUAUAUGCCUAGAACACGUUAUAACUUGUAAAAUACAUAAAGAAUUCAUAUUAACUCCAAAAAUUAUGAAACCAAAUGUGUUAGUCUUAGAAAACACUCCUCUACACCUCUGUGAAGUCAAACUUAAUAAACAUCACUUUAUAAAAAUAUUUUAUAACACUCCCUAGGUGAUACUAUCUUAUACUGAGCAAACUUCUAAAAUUCAUAACUCCCAAAUAAAAAGAGAUAAAAUAGAAAUUCUUUCACCUAAAAUUCAUCUUAAACCAGUGCCUAUCCUCUGUGCACAAAUCAUGCAUUUUAGAGCAUUUUGGAUUUUUUUUCGCAUAUUUCGGUGUUUAAUUGCAUAACGUGUACUUUAUAUAGAUGAAUGCUUAAACGGUGAAGAAGUGAUUUAGGUGCUGACAUUUUUCAGUUGCAAGGCAAGUCCCACCUCCCUCUCUUUGAUCACUUUAAACCUAUGUUUUGGAGGUUAUUGAAAAUGUUUGCAAAUCUUGCAUGUUGAUUGUACACUAAUAAAUUAAAAUUUUGUUAAACUUGUUAGACAAACUCCUAUUACUUGCAUUAUCACCCUAACCCCACAUAUAUCCAUAUCCCAGAUUCCUAACCUUAGGAACAAUAUGACUAUACCACUUUAUAUAUGAGUUUUGGAGUCAUUAGGUUACUAUAAUGCUUAGCCAUGCUUAGAAUGAUCUUCCUUAUCAUUAUGGAUUCAUUACAAAUAUGAAAAUUGAUUUUGAAAUAAUCUGAACAGAACUUUAAUACUUGUGAUUUUGAUAAAUAAAAUGAUGGAAAACAUGGAGUUUAGGUUUGGGCCUCAAGUGGUACACAUAUGGUGAUUAGUUGUGUACCGAUAGGGGGAGAGUGCGCCCAAACCGACCUAAGGACUUCACUCAAUGUUUGUUCAUUAUGUUUACUGUACAUCCACAUGUGUUAUUAUGGGGUGACCUUGGCCUAUUAAGUUAAGUGCUUGUCUAACCUUGCAUUCGGGAGGCCGUUGUAGUAGCGAUAGUGCCUACGAGUGAACUUUAGGGCUAUUUGUGUUUAUGUGAAUUGCAAAGGGGACGACUGUACCGAUCCGCUUUUUAUGUGCAUGAUGUUUAUGAGGGGACAACUGUAACGUUCCGCCUCACUUUUAUUUAUGGUUUGGUAGGGAACAACUGUAUUGUUCCGCGUGAGGGGACGACUGCAAUGUUCCGCCUCAUGUACAACGUUGAGUGCCACAUAGGAAGCGACUGUACCGGCUUGCCUAUGGCGUUAUAUUGGUUUUAGAUUUAGUCCUUGAGUGAUGCGGGUAUCGUCUGCUUCUUCUAGGACUUGAACUUAAUGGGGUAAACCCCUAGUCGGUAUGCUUCUGGAUUGGGUAGACAAGCUUCCGUUGUUCUAUAUAUUUAUUUGGCUACUAGAGCCAUACCUGAACUCUUCCGAAGACUUCCGGACUCUUGAUUUCUACUCUAUUCCUAUUCCACCAGCUAGAUACUACUAAACUAAACUUGACAGAAAUGAGAAAGCUAUUGCUUGAGAUCUGUGAGUGAAGUGAGAAUGGCAACUCCUUAUAUAGCCUCACAAUGACGGUUGUGACGGUUGGAAUGGUCGGAAAUACCCUCUAACCGUCAUUGGGGGCUAAUCCAUACCGUCCAGGCGAAGCCCUGGAUCGGAUGGCGCUGAGGAGGGUUCGGCUGAACUCCCUGGUUCGGCCGAACCUGGGGCCGGCCCAAUCCAGCCCAAUUUCGGCUAGCGGCCUCCUCUGUUGCUUCUAUUCGCUGACUUGUGAAUUUUGGCCCAAUUCUUUGUAUCAAUUCUGAGUUCUUGGCCCAUUCAUACAUAAGUCUGGUU
Molecule: non-coding RNA, 6876 nt
Organism: Oryza sativa Japonica Group (Japanese rice)
Lineage: Eukaryota; Viridiplantae; Streptophyta; Magnoliopsida; Poales; Poaceae
Source: RefSeq, a predicted model, not a curated record